RNAcentral lists this small RNA (125 nucleotides) under Marmota monax (woodchuck). Lineage: Eukaryota; Metazoa; Chordata; Mammalia; Rodentia; Sciuridae. The record is from RNAcentral.
GCUGGGUGCAGUGGCACAUGCCUGUAAUCCCAGCAGCUUGGGAGGCUGAGGCUGGAGGAUCACGAGAACAAAGCCAGCCUCAGCAACGGUGAGGAGCUAAGCAACUUAGUAAGACCCUGUCUCUA